Long non-coding RNA from Cyprinus carpio carpio, 353 nucleotides. NCBI's taxonomy places the organism in Eukaryota, Metazoa, Chordata, Actinopteri, Cypriniformes, Cyprinidae. The record is from Ensembl.
UGAAGUUUGAAGCAAAUCGAGUAAAAAUAAGAUGCUGAAUUCAAAGCAUUUUGAAAAUGACACACUUCCUGCUGCCAGUUGGUGGCGCUGUAACUUUGACUCCUAAUAGUCACAUAUAUGCGAUCGGCAUCAUACAUCGAACAAACCGAUGAAGUUUGAUCAAACUCAGGUAAUGUAUGUGAAUGUUAUUAGACAUUUCCUGUUACUCAUUUCUCGCCAUAAUUUCAACGCCUCGCCACGGACAAACCGUUCGAGAUAUCAAAAAUAUCUUCGCAAUUUAGCAUCCCCAAUGUCUUGAGAUCAUGUUCACCGAUUUUUGUGGCGAACGGGUGGAGUUCCUCAGAGGAGUAUAU